RNAcentral lists this ribosomal RNA (492 nucleotides) under uncultured bacterium. Its description in RNAcentral is "partial 16S ribosomal RNA". It matches the Rfam family "Bacterial small subunit ribosomal RNA", at positions 29 to 507 of the family's 1533-position model. The record is from RNAcentral.
AGUGAACGCUGGCGGUAGGCCUAACACAUGCAAGUCGAACGGCAGCACAGUAAGCGCUUGCUCUUACGGGUGGCGAGUGGCGGACGGGUGAGGAAUACAUCGGAAUCUACUUUUUCGUGGGGGAUAACGUAGGGAAACUUACGCUAAUACCGCAUACGACCUACGGGUGAAAGCAGGGGAUCUUCGGACCUUGCGCGAUUGAAUGAGCCGAUGUCGGAUUAGCUAGUUGGCGGGGUAAAGGCCCACCAAGGCGACGAUCCGUAGCUGGUCUGAGAGGAUGAUCAGCCACACUGGAACUGAGACACGGUCCAGACUCCUACGGGAGGCAGCAGUGGGGAAUAUUGGACAAUGGGCGCAAGCCUGAUCCAGCCAUACCGCGUGAGUGAAGAAGGCCUUCGGGUUGUAAAGCCCUUUUGUUGGGAAAGAAAAGCAGCAGGUUAAUACCCCGCUGUUCUGACGGUACCCAAAGAGUAAGCACCGGCUAACUUCGUG